UACAGCGUGAAUACACGAGUAGUUACAUUGUGAGCCAAAACAGUUUUGUGCUAAGUUCACCUUCUGAUUCCGAUUUUUGUCAUAAGAAAUGAAGUGCCUUUAGAAGAAUUGGAAAGGGGUGCCGAAGAAGUUCCACUAGUAUUUGUAAACGGGCAAAAAGGAACGUACUUUACACCUUAUAAAAGAAAGACAAAAAGCCGCCAAGAAUUCAUGCUGGCGGUAAAUUUGUUAAUAAGUAUACUACCUACCGGAACAAGAUACAAAGUAUUCAUCCAGCUGCUACCACUUCUGUUUCUGGUAUAUUGUUUUAUUUUUUUAUUUUAGUUAUGACAACUAUUGCUUGCUUAUUUUUCGUAAGAACUAAUACAGAUGAAUCUGAUGAUGACAGCACUAAAUGAACAAGCAGUCGCCACCGGAAGUUUAAAACCCAAGACAACAACUUUCAAGAAUCCUGCAGUUACUCACGAGGUGAACCAAGCCACUGUACUGAAUAUGGUAGAAAAUAAUCCCCAAAUGACCGAAGAGACCGAAAUUAGUGACCGCUUAUCAGACAAACACAAGUAUCAUCCUUUUCACUUAGAGUUGCAUCAAAAACUUUAUGGACAAGAUUUUGAAAACAGGAUAUUUUUUGUCGAUGGACCGAAGAGCAAAUAAGGUCCAAUAACAAUUUUUUUAAUAAAGUUUUGUUCACCGAUGAGUGUAAUUUAAAAAAAAAAAAACGGCAUAGUAAAUAAACAUAAUAUGCACUACUGGGCCGUUGAGAAACCCCACUGUAUGCGUCAACAAGCAAACCAAAAUUACUGGUCCUUAAAUGUUUUGGGGGACGUCGUUAUCCAUAAUAUUGUGGUAGCUACAUUUUUCUUCGGGAGGCACCUAAAUGGGGAAAUUUACGUUAAUUGUUUACGCGAAUAUUUAGACGGUAUGCUGGAGGAUGUCCCACUUAAAAUAAGACAAGAUAUGUGAUUUCAACAAGAUGGGGAGCCUCCUCAUUACAGCUAAAUAGCUAGAGCACAAUUUGAAGAGCAAUUUGUUGAAAGGUCCCAUCCUAUGGCCCUCUAGCUCUCCAGAUUUAACAGGAUCUGAUUUCUUUUUGUGAGAUAAGGUGAAAGAGAUGGUGUAUCAGGAAGAACCUACUACCAUUAAAAAUAUGCAAAAUCGGAUAUGAAACGCAUCUGCCGAAAUUAACAGGCGAAAUCUUGCAGCAAAUCAGAAAAAGUUUUCAAAGGCGCCUACGGGCCUGCAUUGAAAAUAAUGGUCAUCAUUUUAAACAUUUGUUAUGUAAAUUAAAACGUUUACUUAAAACUUAAAAAGAUGUUUUUAAUUUAAAAUAAUAGUUACCGUCCUAGAAAAAUGACGAGACAUCACUAACAUCUGCAUUCGACCUUCCAACAUUUGCAAAUCAUGCAAUCUUA
This is a long non-coding RNA of Tribolium madens (black flour beetle), 1412 nucleotides long. RefSeq lists it as uncharacterized. The record is from RefSeq and is a predicted model, not a curated record. The transcript is spliced from 3 exons. Lineage: Eukaryota; Metazoa; Arthropoda; Insecta; Coleoptera; Tenebrionidae.